GAUAAAGUCAAUUAAGAAAUAAUUCCCGCAUUGGGUACUUAUAAUUCCCAAUUAGUUCUAGCUGAAUAUUUAUGACCUAGGUGCUAUGACAGUCGAUAAACCAAUUGACCGGAAGUUCUGUGUUGGUGUUUGUGGAGUGUUUGCGGGAGAUAUAGGGAGAUGCUAUCGUACUGGAACUGGACUCCAGGAUGCAGUGCAUCGAGGGUCUUCCCGGACCGGAGCAUUCCUAUAAACCAUUACACAUGCAAAUUCGGUGGCUGCACUUAGCCAAUGCAAUGUGGAUCAGCUAAAUUUAGCGACUUUUUUAUUUUCGUCACUCAUCUUUUGCAACUCGGAGUGGACCCCAAGCAAAUAUUGGCCCAGCCGCCCAUCCGUGCGUCCAAGUUCAGUGAUGUUUGCCCGGCUGUCAUCACUCCCAGUUGGCUGUCAGCCCUCGUGACCAGGCACUCUGCUUUUGUUGCUCAUUUUUGGACAGCCCGAUGUGUGUCCUUUGACUGUCAAGGUCCGUAUCAUCUUAACUCGUCUUCAAACGCCAUCAAAGUCAAAGUCGACUCCCCAUCCAAACCAAACCCUUCCCUUCCCAAGUCAUCACUCCUCCUCCUCUGAUCUUGAUCUCUGUGUACACUGCUCCUCAUGUGGGACUGACGUCAGUGGAAAUUUGUGUAGACUUUAUGAGGCUGCGGCUUAAAGUUUGUUGAUGUUUUUUGUGACUGCUGCCACUGGGGAUUUAUGGGCCACCCACACGGAGAUACUCCGCUUAUCGGCGAGUCGUUUAUCAGGCAUAAAUCUGCCUACUCCGGCAUUUCUGCGUCGGAAUCUGGAAAGAGUUGGACCCCACGAUCUGGGUUCUUAGCAGAAAGUAUGUAUCUUUUGGAAAACAAAGAUAUUUGGUGUACCAAACGCCCCCAAUAAUCUUUAAAUGAGUUUAGACCAUGGAGAUUUUCCUAUAUUUCAUAUCAAUUAAAAGCGAUGCUAAGAAUUCAAACAAGUUGACAAGAAUCUCAAUCAUUUUUAGAGCUAUGCACUUCACUGAUCUCGCCUUGAACUAUCUACACAGAAAUAGAUACAAGAUCAUGGGCACAUGCUUGAUUGUUUUUCCGCUCUCUAAAUAGGUGAAAUAGCAUUUGAUUGGUUCUCCAUUGAUUCUAUCCUGACUUAAUGUUUUAGAUAAACGAUGUACCCCCUUCGUAGCCUACUGAUCCUUCAAUGGUCUCUAUAGAGUCAUGAUCUUGGACAAUUGCUGGCAUUAGUCUAGCUUAUCACCCACUUUGAUGGUCUAUCUUUAGCUUUACGACCUGCCAUUUCGGUGAGCAGCAACAUUAUAACGUUGAAAACAUCAACAUUAUAAUUGGCUUAGUGGGGGCUUUUUCCUAACGCUCUUGUUUGGAUUUCAGAGCUCCACUGACGCAAAACAGAGAAUUCUUUGGGUCACGUGAAUCGAAAGUGCCAAGUCACUUUUGGCUACGCAGUGUCUAUGGUCCAACUGGUCCGGUUUUGCCCCUUAGCCCCAAACCCCUUCCGAACCCCUUCCAACUCCCCUUGGAAACCCCUUCCCAACCCCUUCCCUCCAGUCAAAUGGAAACCGAAAUAAAUGCGCACAGCUCGCGGGCUUGAUUAAUCAUUGCAUGCUCAAUAUCAAUUAAGACAAGGGGAAAAAUACGAGAUCGGUUCUCUGCCCCAGAAGGGGUUAUAUCUAUAUGGCUUCAUGGAAAGAAAGGGAGGGCGAAAGCCAAGAGAAUGGGUUGGAGAGAGAGAAGAAAGGGGAGGAGAAGCAGAAGCGAUGACUAAUUCAAGGGGCUUAAGCAGAAAUCAAUUCAAUGCCCAAUUUCAACAACAUCGACCGAGACGAAAACAACAACCAGAAGAGAGUGGGGCACAUUCUACAUUCUGCAUUCUACAGUCUACAGCCUCCAGUGCGAACCGGUUAGAACCGAUGCCAAUCAACCCGCUGAACCUUUAAGGCAGCUACGUCAUUAGAAUCAAAAAGGGGCGACACCGAGACGAGGCCUUCAGUUCCGCAGAUCCAUUCGGAAGCGAUCUGUAUUGGAUCCUCAGAUCAUUUGCCAUGGGAUUCCGAAGAAUUGACCAAGGAACACCACCUUAUAUUAAAAGCCGAUCGAGAUAUUCAGAUCCUUAAAUCAUUUCGAAGUUGGUUCCCAAAUAAUGUAGAAGAAAUCUUCUGCCUGUAGAAUCCCCCUCACUGCGCACAACUUUAAUGGUCCAUGUAUUAAUGAAAAUCAUACACAUUCUGCAAAACACAUAUUGUUCAUAAAUCAAGAACACGUUCUCGAAGUCGAGUUAUAUCAUUUUGGAAAUGUUGAAAAUAAUGAGUCUCAAUUUCAUAUUGCAUUUUCUGGUAUAAACAAUAGCCGUUUUGUAAACAUUUCUUUAUAUAAUCAUACACAGAAAGUACUUUAUGUAGAUUUAAGUUGGAUUAUUUAUUAUUCCUCUGAUUUAAGGUCGAAUAUUGACUGCACCGCGAAAGAAUUUUGAGUUUAUUUACAUCAAAAUAAGAUGACAAGUGGAAGAUACUGAUGUGGUAUAUAUUUUAUAUCAAGUACAUUGUAAGCUCUUUGCCUUAUAUCUGUAAUUACGCAGCUGUUUGGCGUUUCUUUGCACAAUUUGUAUACAAAAUCAGGCACUACUUCUCAAGAUCCCUACCUAGAGAUAUGGCAAAGCACCUAGAUAUUUCUAGUUGCCUCUAGUUGAUCGGAAGCUGUCAUUGCAUCAAUUGGAAGACGAUCUCGUGAAACUGAGGAACUGUCUGCUUGAGUGCUUUUCCAUUGCAGAGUCAUUUCUAUGUUCAUUUCCAUUCCCAUUUCCAUUUUGAUUUUGAUUUUAAUUUAAUGCCAUUCGCGAACAGGUUUGUGGCGCCCGAGCAGGGACCACAAUGGAUAUGACAACAAUUAGAAUCUGCCACAUGUCGCUGGGCUCUUUGUUCGCCUGGCUCUAUGGAUCUCUAAUACAAAAUACAAAGGGGGCAUCGCAAAAGCCGAAAAGCACUUGUUUUGUUCAGCCCAACGCGGCUUUUGUUUGUACUUGCCAUUUUCUGUCCAACUGUCGUGCGGGGAGCUUGAUUUAAAAUGUUUAUCUGGAUUAGGGCCUUCUGCCGCUAAUGUAAUCGAGGCAUUUUAUAGCCACUACUUGAAAUAGCUACUGGAUCAACAACGGGGCGACACGAGCCACCCGAAGGGCCAUAAAAAGUUAAACAAACGAGCGAGGCCCUCAACUCAACUGGAUGACUUUCGGCGCAAAACAUAUAGACUGGCAAAUGCAUAUACAAUAUAUAUGGUACAUGGUAUAUGCACACCCAGAGAUAUUUGCAUUCUGGUGACCCCGAGCAGGCAAAAAAAAAUGUAUUUAUAAGACUUCCCACUUCAAUGUAUUAUUUGUGUGCUAAAUACUGGCAAUAAGGUGGGCCAGAGCAGAAAAUAGGAGGGGGAAGGCGAAGGAGGGAUCGACGGUGCUAGAGAAAGUGUCAGACUGGUGACCCCCAACAGCCUGAAAUUGCUUACGUGGCGGGUUUUAUGAGAUUUCCCUGGCUCGUUUGUUAUUUGUUUGCUAAAUGCACAGGAAAAACAUUAUCGCUGCCGAUAUUGACUGCUCAAUUUUCGCAUACUGUUCAAAUAAACGAUCUUAGCUUAAUCUUGAUUGAGUUCAAUCAGUAUCUUAUUUA
Molecule: non-coding RNA, 3676 nt
Organism: Drosophila suzukii
Lineage: Eukaryota; Metazoa; Arthropoda; Insecta; Diptera; Drosophilidae
Source: RefSeq, a predicted model, not a curated record